CGGCCCACCCCAGAGGCCACCCAGCGCCAAGCGCCCCUUCCCUCCACUGCCCACGGCCUCCGAGUCCAGGGGAGCUGCGUGGGCGGUUCAGGCCAGUCCAGCCAGGAGCUGCAGCCUCUCCUACUGGGACCCGGAGGCCGCCUCCUGUUCCCUCUCCUGCCCAAGCGCCUCCCCAGCCUCCCCACCCACCAAGGGGAGCCUUGGCCCAUCAGCCUUGGGAUGCCCUGCCUACCACUUGGAGGUCCUCCCCAGCCAGAAAGGCGGGUGUCUUUCGGUUCCUGUACCAUCCCGGCCAGCUGCCCACCACUCUGCAGAACCGGCCAAAGAGAAGUGCCAAGGCCAGGCUGUUCAGGCCACCCCAGGUCCUCUGAUCCCACCCUGGACACAGAAGGUGGCUCUUCCUGCCACAGCCCUAGGACAUGGUGGCCUCCUUCCAGAAGCAGUCCCUGUGGACCAAGGUCUUGGGGACCUGAGGGAGAGGUUUCCCUCACAGUCUGCAGCAUGCUGGUUGCCUGUCUAGAGAGGGCUCUGUGGAUUUCCAAGCCCAAGCAUGACCGUGCAGUUCUCUGGAUGGCUCCCAGGACACACUUGCUCACGGGAAUGGCCCGGGGACCGUGCUCUCCCCUGGGCAGAUGCUCUGAGACACACUGCCAGGGCUCACUUAAAACCACUUUGCUCUGACUUGAAACAAGUCACUUAACUCUUCUUGGACCUAGUUUGGGAAAAAAAACAUUCUGUUUAAAUGCCAAGAGUUGUGUGUUCCCUCUGAGCUCCAGGUUCACACUCUGCAAUGAGCGUGGCGGUCGGUGCUCAGGGAUGGGCAGCCGCUGUUCCCUCCCAGGCACAGCAACUGAGGCAGGCAGCAGGGCCCCAGCCCACAGCCCCCUGGGAAGCCGAGAGCGAGUGAGAUGGAGGAGCCGAGGCUGCAGUCAGACCCACUCCCUGGAGGGAGGCGGGCCUCGCCAGGGCCUAGCACCUAGCAAGUACCACCAGAUGUGAGGCGCCUUCCAGCCGAAGGCCCAGGGGAAGCUGCGCUCCCUCUACACCCUGUGACCGUCAGGACACAGCCCAGAGCAGCCUCUGAAGAAACACUGGGCAGGUCCUGACACGGGUGCACCUCUGGCACCCAACACCCGUGUGUAAGGCCUGCCCAGCCCUUUGCUUCUUGGGUGCCUUCCCCUCAAGCUGCCAGCCUGGUCCACUGGCCACAAGCUCAGCGUGGUUCCUGGCUCUUUCACAUGUCCUCCCGCUCCAACAUCCUCUUGUCCGUCAGCAGGACGGCUCUGGGGCUUGGCUCCUGGGCCUGGUCUCUGGUGCUGGCAAGAGUCUCACCCACUGCUGGGUUGCCUCCCAGAAUCUGCCUCCACCCCUCGGACUGGGGGCCUUUGGACUCAGCUGACAGACACCAGCACUGAGACCAGCAUCUCCCCGCAGCCCUGCCACCUCUGCUUUUCCCCAGCUGGCACACAUCUCUGGUUAGGGGGAGGGUCACCAAGCUAUUGUGGGACCCGGACCGAGCAUUUUUCUCUGAAGACCCAGGCGCUAAGCUGCAGGAAGCAGCUCCCUGCAGCCUCCUGUGUCCACACUGCCAGCAUUCUUGCCUGCGGUGCUCAGAUGACCCCCGUCCUCCCAGAUCGAGCUUGACGCUCCCAAAGACCAGCAGGUGGUGGCCAAGCCCUGGCUGGGGCCUCGGAGGCAGCAUGACCAUUUCAAAGUCUCAAACGGGGGAACCCACCAGGGUGGCACCUUGGGCAACUCGGUUCUUCCUGACGGGCCCGGCCUGGCCAUACUCAGCCUCAGACGCCCACCUGCACACGGACUGUGGCUGGUCCAGACCUUCGUGCCACUCUGCAGUGCGAGCUGUCAGCAGGCCUUGGACGGGACAGAAACAUCAUCCUCAUGUCAAGCUUUCCGCACUGACUAGACUCCAGCAGCACUUGGAUCUGGCACAGCCACGAAUCUGAGUACUUCCCACCCCACCAGUCAGGGUUCCGGCCGGAGGCAGGCGGUGCUUGGGGGUCGUCUCAAGAACUGGAUGCAGGCUGGUAGGAAACGUUCCUGGACCCCUUCAGGUGGGAUCUCAACGCUGAGAGCUGCCUCUGGGAAUGACUCUGCUGCCCUCGUUAGCUAGAAGGUGCCCAGAGGCGGUGGAAGCCUGGGGUCUCCGCUGACCACACCAGCUUGUGCACAGCUAGGCUGCAAGGAGAGCAGUCCCCGGGGCACCGAGGGGACAGGUGGUGCUUGGCUUCUGCCACAGCCGCUUGGGACCUCUUGUCCGUGCAUGCGUGUGUGCGUGUGUGUCUACAUGUCUGCACGUUUUAGCAGUAAAAUAAAGACUCCGCUGGCGACAAGACUGCUCCUUACUGCAGGAUCCAGGACAUCACAUCGGGAACCUGCAACGAGCCCUCAGACGGAUGCACCGACAAAAGGAAAUCCUCAGCAGGAAGUGACAGCAGAGGAAGCCCUGCCUGGGAGCCUGGGAGCAGGCUGGCUCCAACCAGCCCAGCUCAGCGCUGCGCCCAGCCCUGUCCUGACUCUCUCCAGGGCCACGGUGCACCGUAGGCCCCACACCGCUUUCUGCAGACACGUGGCGGAAGGCGAGCUGUGGCUCUCGUGUGGCUUCUCAAAGAGCAUGACGGCAGCAGAAACAAAAACAAAGCUCAGUGGAAGUUUUCAUAACUUGAUCGUUGUUUAGCUGCCAGGUACCUAGGGUCACGAUGAUGCGAUCGCUCAAAAAAAGUGCCUCCCAUAAAGUCCUAACUAGUACAUCUCAAACCACCACUGCCACCCUGGGGAGUCCCCACGGAGACCUUUGGGGAGCCCGCCUCCUGACCGCCAGGCCUUCUUCCCCCAGCCAGGGACCCAGAGGCUCACUGUAAGGUCCCACCUCCUGUGACACUAACACAGGCAGUGUCAUCUUUAUUUUGGGAGCACUCA
Non-coding RNA from Vicugna pacos (alpaca), 2937 nucleotides. The record is from RefSeq and is a predicted model, not a curated record. NCBI's taxonomy places the organism in Eukaryota, Metazoa, Chordata, Mammalia, Artiodactyla, Camelidae.